This 72-nucleotide transfer RNA is filed under the name Camelus bactrianus (Bactrian camel). It matches the Rfam family "tRNA". From Rfam's summary of the family: Transfer RNA (tRNA) molecules are approximately 80 nucleotides in length. RNAcentral also lists the same sequence under 2 other names. Lineage: Eukaryota; Metazoa; Chordata; Mammalia; Artiodactyla; Camelidae. The record is from Rfam by way of RNAcentral.
GAGGAUAUAGCUCAGUGGUAAAGUGCAUGCUUAGCAUUCACAAGGUCCUGGGUUCAAUCUCCAGUACCUUCU